GACAGAGGGUGCAAACGUUGUUCGGAAUUACUGGGCGUAAAGCGCGUGUAGGCGGCUAAGUAAGUCGGGCGUGAAAUCCCACGGCUCAACCGUGGAAGUGCACUCGAAACUGCAUAGCUAGAGUCCUGGAGAGGAAGGUGGAAUGCUUGGUGUAGAGGUGAAAUUCGUAGAUAUCAAGCGGAACACCGGUGGCGAAGGCGGCCUUCUGGGACAGUGACUGGACGCUGAGACGCGAAAGCG
This 240-nucleotide ribosomal RNA is filed under the name uncultured bacterium. RNAcentral describes it as "partial 16S ribosomal RNA". It matches the Rfam family "Bacterial small subunit ribosomal RNA", at positions 524 to 761 of the family's 1533-position model. The record is from RNAcentral.